AGAGUUUGAUCCUGGCUCAGGAUGAACGCUAGCGGCAGGCUUAACACAUGCAAGUCGCGGGGCAGCGGGGGAUGAGCUUGCUCAUCCCGCCGGCGACCGGCGCACGGGUGAGUAACACGUAUGCAACCUGCCCCUGUCAGGGGGACAACCCACCGAAAGGUGGGCUAAACCCGCGUACAUCCGGAGGGGGCAUCCCCUUGGGAGGAAAGGAGCGAUCCGGACAGGGAUGGGCAUGCGGCGCAUUAGCUAGACGGCGGGGUAACGGCCCACCGUGGCGACGAUGCGUAGGGGUUCUGAGAGGAAGGCCCCCCACACUGGUACUGAGACACGGACCAGACUCCUACGGGAGGCAGCAGUGAGGAAUAUUGGUCAAUGGUCGGGAGACUGAACCAGCCAAGCCGCGUGAGGGAAGAAGGUACAGCGUAUCGUAAACCUCUUUUGCCGGGGAACAAGAGCUUCCACGAGUGGGAGUGUGAGCGUACCCGGAGAAAAAGCAUCGGCUAACUCCGUGCCAGCAGCCGCGGUAAUACGGAGGAUGCGAGCGUUAUCCGGAUUUAUUGGGUUUAAAGGGUGCGUAGGCGGCGAGUUAAGUCAGCGGUAAAAGCCCGGGGCUCAACCCCGGCCCGCCGUUGAAACUGGCUGGCUUGAGUUGGGGAAAGGCAGGCGGAAUGCGCGGUGUAGCGGUGAAAUGCAUAGAUAUCGCGCAGAACCCCGAUUGCGAAGGCAGCCUGCCGGCCCCACACUGACGCUGAGGCACGAAAGCGUGGGUAUCGAACAGGAUUAGAUACCCUGGUAGUCCACGCAGUAAACGAUGAAUGCUUGCUGUCCGGGGGGAUUUGCCCCUGGGGGGGCGCAGCGAAAGCGAUAAGCAUUCCACCUGGGGAGUACGCCGGCAACGGUGAAACUCAAAGGAAUUGACGGGGGCCCGCACAAGCGGAGGAACAUGUGGUUUAAUUCGAUGAUACGCGAGGAACCUUACCCGGGCUCAAACGGGAGACGCCGCAGGCAGAGACGCCUGUUUCCUUAGGGACGUCUUCCGAGGUGCUGCAUGGUUGUCGUCAGCUCGUGCCGUGAGGUGUCGGCUUAAGUGCCAUAACGAGCGCAACCCCCGCGGGCAGUUGCUAACAGGUUAAGCUGAGGACUCUGCCCGGACUGCCGGCGCAAGCCGCGAGGAAGGCGGGGAUGACGUCAAAUCAGCACGGCCCUUACGUCCGGGGCGACACACGUGUUACAAUGGGCGGUACAGCGGGAAGCCAGGCGGCGACGCCGAGCGGAACCCGAAAGCCGUUCUCAGUUCGGAUCGGAGUCUGCAACCCGACUCCGUGAAGCUGGAUUCGCUAGUAAUCGCGCAUCAGCCAUGGCGCGGUGAAUACGUUCCCGGGCCUUGUACACACCGCCCGUCAAGCCAUGGGAGCCGGGGGUGCUUGAAGUGCGUCGCCGCGAGGCGCGCCCUAGAGCAAAACCGGUGACUGGGGCUAAGUCGUAACAAGGUAACC
Molecule: ribosomal RNA, 1496 nt
Filed under: uncultured bacterium
Lineage: Bacteria
Description: bacterial SSU rRNA
Rfam family: Bacterial small subunit ribosomal RNA
Source: RNAcentral